CUGGAAGGACCACACAGAGCUUUUAAAGGAACAGGGGGAGGCUCAGAGCUCUGUCUGCAGUCCUUGUCUCCCCAAAGGCUGCUCUUGUUUCGCUGCCUCAGACCAAGUGGCUUCUGUGCUUGUUGUCACCCUCAAAACCAGCAAAUAAUCUUCCAAGGAUUUGCUAAAUCUGGAGUGGGAACACAGAGAAAAGGGAGUCCACUCCUGCCAGUUUGGAGCCUACCAGGAUGCCUUUGGCAAAGGAGCAAGAGGUGCAGCCAGGAAAAGCUCCUGGCUCCCUGCAGUGCCAAGCUGAAACGUUUUCAAGCUUGAUCUUCUUCAAUUGAUUUGUUUUGUUAAGCCAAGUGAUGGGAUUGUAAGAAAGAAAAAUUCCUAAUGAGAGUGAGGAAAAUGGAACACACUGAAAAUUCUGGAAUGAAAAGAAGAAAGUUGAUCGAUGACCCCCAGAGAAAUACUUGGCUUAGAAACUUACUGAAAUGUCACUGAAUAAAUCUUUAUGUUUGUUAUUA
This is a long non-coding RNA of Chiroxiphia lanceolata (lance-tailed manakin), 509 nucleotides long. RefSeq lists it as uncharacterized. The transcript is spliced from 3 exons. Lineage: Eukaryota; Metazoa; Chordata; Aves; Passeriformes; Pipridae. The record is from RefSeq and is a predicted model, not a curated record.